AGUGCUGAAGGCAUCUAAGCACGAAGCCCCCCUCAAGAUAAGAUUUCCCAUUACGCAAGUAAUUAAGACUCCAGGAAGACCACCUGGUAGAUAGGUCUCAGGUAGAAGAGUAGCAAUACUUGCAGCUAAGAGAUACUAAUAAGUCGAGGACUUGACCUAAA
RNAcentral lists this ribosomal RNA (161 nucleotides) under Tissierella creatinini. RNAcentral describes it as "partial 23S ribosomal RNA". It matches the Rfam family "Bacterial large subunit ribosomal RNA", at positions 2767 to 2925 of the family's 2925-position model. The record is from RNAcentral. Lineage: Bacteria; Bacillati; Bacillota; Tissierellia; Tissierellales; Tissierellaceae.